UUGAAGUCCUGACUUUUCAGGACGUAGCUCCCUGACUUUGAAUGUGUUCAAUUUCUCAGUGCUUCUGUUUCCUCCUUUGACAUCAUCCUGUCCUCCUAUGCCCAUUAGCAGGAGGAAAUCAUCCCCCACAACUCAAGCAUCCUGCUCCUGUGGUUUCCUGUCGCGUAGGUUCAUGCGAUGACUGAUGACUGUGGGAGAAAACUCCUGGGAGGAUUUCAUCCGGCAGUGGAAGAGUCAAUGCUGAGAGAAGAGACUGCAGAUUAGGGAUGGAAUCCAGGGCUUCACUCCUGUUAGGCUAAUGUUAACUGCUACUGAAUACACUUGAGUCAGCCUAACUAUGUGCCUGGAUUCCUGUGGGCCAUGAAUGAACCAUACACACAUCACUUCAGUCUUGAUGAAAAUCUGACUAAUGCAUUUGGUAUUUAAGGUCCUAAAGGUAAGUAAUAAUGUCAUGAAUGAUGCGAUAUAAUUGAAAAUUAAAUAAUUACAUAGCUCAUGGGUUUAGCUUGAACCUGGGACAGGUCCUUUUUAUUCACAAAGAGGUGGCCGGCCCAGCUUUAGAAACCAAGCAACAUUGACACUCAUGUGAAACCAUCGGCCAGAUUCCUUUGUGGCAAAGACUUCCUGUGAAGAAUAUCUUCAAAGCCUAGUAAAUGAUCCUUCUGUAUUGCAUAAUGCUUUCUAAUAAAUACCCUCUGUGGGAAGGAAUGAUCCCUGCACACAAAACUCUGUGUGUGUGUGUGUGUGUGUGUGUGUGUGUGUGUGUGUGUGUGUGUGUUGCUGAGGAUUGAAUUCUUAUGCAUGUUAAGCAUACACUCUACAACUGAGCUACAUUCCCAGCCCCCAACAAAAAUCUUAAAAGAGUUUUAAGAAAUGAAUCAGAAUGACCGAAGUGUGAGGUUCAUUCACUUUUCACCUACUUUCAGAACCAUGUGUGGCAACUAACUUAUCAAGAGAUAAGCCUAUGUAUGUACAAAGGUGAAAUGCUAAAGUUAAGGUAGUGUCCUAUGAUUC
This is a non-coding RNA of Ictidomys tridecemlineatus (thirteen-lined ground squirrel), 1014 nucleotides long. Lineage: Eukaryota; Metazoa; Chordata; Mammalia; Rodentia; Sciuridae. The record is from RefSeq and is a predicted model, not a curated record.